Molecule: non-coding RNA, 1020 nt
Organism: Ictidomys tridecemlineatus (thirteen-lined ground squirrel)
Lineage: Eukaryota; Metazoa; Chordata; Mammalia; Rodentia; Sciuridae
Source: RefSeq, a predicted model, not a curated record
CACCCUCCUCUCCAGGCGCUCCCACCUAGGCAGGCGCGAGGCGGAAGCACACUGGCGGGUGAAGGACAGAAAGACAAAUGGAGAGCUCUCCAGCCAGCACACGCAUUAAACAAAUGACCGUAAAGCGACGGCUUGCAGAGGAUCCGCUCAAGGAACCGCCUUCUAAAAGUCGUGUCGUCAGCCUCAGCAGUGCAGGACGCCUUCCUGACCGGAGGGUGCUGUCCUUGAAGGAGGAACAGCUCAUUUUGGUCUUCCGAGCAUCCCUGGAGAUGGCCAGCGCAGGUGCGGCUGUCCCCACAGGGCCGUCUCUUUCCAUCGCCACACCACCACCUCCGAAGUGCAUCCUAGGGUCCCGAUUUUACAGGGGGAGAAACUGAGGCACACAAAAAAAGGAACUUAUUCUCUGGAAGUUGAGCAACGAAAGAAAUUAAAAAUUGAGGGCAGGGUUGUGCCAGUGCGGCAUCCCUGAUCCCACAAGUGCGCACACGUGCACGAGGGUGCGCGUAGAGCCUUUUAAAAAGACUGCAUCUCCACUCCUACCAAGCCCUCUUGAUUUUAAUUGCCCCUUGGGGCUCAAAUCUGCCCACUUCUCUCUACUACCGCCAUGCCCCCCCCGCCCGUCUCCUCCCCCCCCCCAGUCACCUGUCUCCCUCCCACGUCACUACUGCUGUACCUUAGUGCAGUUCCUGGCCCCAUCUGUUCCUUGUACAUUGUCCUCAGCAUAACCACCACCCAGCUGCUCCCUGCCUCCACCUUUUUAAAAAAAUGAUGGUCAAAAUAUGCAUAACAUAAAAUUUUCCCUUUUAAAGUGGGCCACUCAGCAGCCUUGAAUAUUGUCAUGCUGUUGUGCAACCAUCACCACCAGAACAUUUCCAUCACCCCACAGGGAAACGCAUUAACGGACACUUCCUGUUCUGCUGUCCCCCCAACCCUUGGCAACCACCAAUCUGCUUUCUGCCUCCCUGAAUGUGCCCGCCUGUUCUGGAUAUUUUAUAUAAACAAAAUCACCCCAAAUAUGAA